Molecule: transfer RNA, 74 nt
Filed under: bacterium
Lineage: Bacteria
Also listed under: 2 other names
Description: tRNA-Pro
Rfam family: tRNA
About the family: Transfer RNA (tRNA) molecules are approximately 80 nucleotides in length.
Source: RNAcentral
CGGGGUGUAGCGCAGCCUGGCAGCGCAACUGCUUUGGGAGCAGUGGGUCGUUGGUUCGAAUCCAAUCACCCCGA